GGACUACUGGGGUAUCUAAUCCUGUUCGCUCCCCUAGCUUUCGCGCCUCAGCGUCAGUUGCCAGCCAGGACACUGCCUUCGCCUUUGGUAUUCCUCCGGAUAUCUACGCAUUUCACCACUCCACCCGGAAUUCUAUGUCCCUCUCUGGCCCUCAAGCCCCACAGUUUUCGGAAAACCUUGCUCAGUUAAGCCGAGCACUGUCACUCCAAACUUGCACGGGCCGCCUACACGCCCUUUACGCCCAGUAACUCCGGACAACGCUCGCCCCCUACGUAUUACCGCGGCUGCUGGCAC
Molecule: ribosomal RNA, 294 nt
Filed under: uncultured bacterium
Lineage: Bacteria
Description: partial 16S ribosomal RNA
Source: RNAcentral